Molecule: ribosomal RNA, 459 nt
Filed under: uncultured bacterium
Lineage: Bacteria
Description: partial 16S ribosomal RNA
Rfam family: Bacterial small subunit ribosomal RNA
Source: RNAcentral
CCUACGGGCGGCAGCAGUGAGGAAUAUUGGUCAAUGGCCGAGAGGCUGAACCAGCCAAGUCGCGUGAGGGAAGACGGCCCUACGGGUUGUAAACCUCUUUUGUCGGGGAGCAAAGCGAACCACGUGUGGUUCAUUGAGAGUACCCGAAGAAACAGCCUCCGCUAACUCCGUGCCAGCAGCCGCGGUAAUACGGAGGAUGCGAGCGUUAUCCGGAUUUAUUGGGGUAAAAGGGUGCGCAGGCGGAGGUGCACGUCAGCGGUCAAACUGCGGGGCUCAACCCCGUACUGCCGUUGAAACUGCAUCCCUUGAGUGCGCGAGAAGUAUGCGGAAUGCGUGGUGUAGCGGUGAAAUGCAUAGAUAUCACGCAGAACCCCGAUUGCGAAGGCAGCAUACCGGUGCACAACUGACGCUCAGGCACGAAAGCGUGGGGAUCGAACAGGAUUAGAUACCCUGGUAGUC